This 535-nucleotide ribosomal RNA is filed under the name uncultured bacterium. RNAcentral describes it as "bacterial SSU rRNA". It matches the Rfam family "Bacterial small subunit ribosomal RNA", at positions 487 to 1016 of the family's 1533-position model. The record is from RNAcentral.
GAAGCACCGGCUAACUACGUGCCAGCAGCCGCGGUAAUACGUAGGGUGCGAGCGUUAAUCGGAAUUACUGGGCGUAAAGCGUGCGCAGGCGGUUUUGUAAGACAGGCGUGAAAUCCCCGGGCUCAACCUGGGAACUGCGUUUGUGACUGCAAGGCUAGAGUACGGCAGAGGGGGUGGAAUUCCACGUGUAGCAGUGAAAUGCGUAGAGAUGUGGAGGAACACCAAUGGCGAAGGCAGCCCCCUGGGUCGAUACUGACGCUCAUGCACGAAAGCGUGGGUAGCAAACAGGAUUAGAUACCCCUGGUAGUCCACGCCCUAAACGAUGUCAACUAGGUGUUGGGUGGGUAAAAACCCAUUUAGUACCGGAGCUAACGCGUGAAGUUGACCGCCUGGGGGAGUACGGCCGCAAGGUUAAAACUCAAAGGAAUUGACGGGGACCCGCACAAGCGGUGGAUGAUGUGGAUUAAUUCGAUGCAACGCGAAAAAACCUUACCUACCCUUGACAUGUCCAGAAGCCUGAAGAGAUUUGGGUGUG